This 72-nucleotide transfer RNA is filed under the name Ovis aries (sheep). It matches the Rfam family "tRNA". From Rfam's summary of the family: Transfer RNA (tRNA) molecules are approximately 80 nucleotides in length. The record is from Rfam by way of RNAcentral. Lineage: Eukaryota; Metazoa; Chordata; Mammalia; Artiodactyla; Bovidae.
UCCCUGGUGGCUCAGAUGGUAAAGCGUCUGCCUGCAAUGCAAGAGACCCAGGUUCGAUCCCUGGGUUGGGAA